This 275-nucleotide long non-coding RNA is filed under the name Cricetulus griseus (Chinese hamster). RNAcentral's name for it is "lncRNA (ENSCGRG00000025174.1)". Lineage: Eukaryota; Metazoa; Chordata; Mammalia; Rodentia; Cricetidae. The record is from RNAcentral.
GUUCGUUUCAGAAACUCCCAGCCUGCAGGACUCAGGAGUCAUGGGGCUGGCAGAUGCAGGUUGCAUAAAGUGUACGCAGAAGAGGUCAUGCCCCCAAGGACGUGAGGGAGCACAGACACAUGUAAGGAGCUAGAGUCCUCUGCCCUGGCUGUUGCUGGUCAUUCUCCGUACCAUUCUGCUGAGCAGCUUCCAGGCAGCUGUCGUCACUGUGAUAUCCAGUGUGGGUAUCUCAACCUGGUAAUCUCAGAAGAAGAUUACGAUAAUAUAAUACUAAC